GUGGGGAAUUUUGGACAAUGGGCGCAAGCCUGAUCCAGCAAUGCCGCGUGCAGGAAGAAGGCCUUCGGGUUGUAAACUGCUUUUGUACGGAACGAAACGGCUCUGGUUAAUACCCGGGGCUAAUGACGGUACCGUAAGAAUAAGCACCGGCUAACUACGUGCCAGCAGCCGCGGUAAUACGUAGGGUGCAAGCGUUAAUCGGAAUUACUGGGCGUAAAGCGUGCGCAGGCGGUUUUGUAAGACAGGCGUGAAAUCCCCGGGCUCAACCUGGGAAUUGCGCUUGUGACUGCAAGGCUGGAGUGCGGCAGAGGGGGAUGGAAUUCCGCGUGUAGCAGUGAAAUGCGUAGAUAUGCGGAGGAACACCGAUGGCGAAGGCAAUCCCCUGGGCCUGCACUGACGCUCAUGCACGAAAGCGUGGGGAGCAAACAGGAUUAGAUACCCUAGUAGUCC
RNAcentral lists this ribosomal RNA (450 nucleotides) under uncultured bacterium. RNAcentral's name for it is "partial 16S ribosomal RNA". It matches the Rfam family "Bacterial small subunit ribosomal RNA", at positions 354 to 796 of the family's 1533-position model. The record is from RNAcentral.